AAGUUUAGCGGCAGACGGGUGCGUAACACGUUGAUACCUGCCCUGAAGUGAGGAAUAGCCCAUUGAAAGAUGGGGUAAUACCGCAUAUGUCCGUAAGGAUAAAGCAGCAAUGCGCUUCAGGAGGGGUCUGCGGCCUAUCAGCUAGUUGGCGGGGUAAUAGCCCACCAAGGCAAUGACGGGUAGCUGGUCUUAAUAGGAUGUCCAGCCACAAUGGAACUGAGACACGGUCCAUACUCCUACGGGAGGCAGCAGUGAGGAAUCUUCCGCAAUGGGCGAAAGCCUGACGGAGCGACACCGCGUGAAGGAUGAAGCUUUUAUUGAGUGUAAACUUCUUUUCUGUGGGAAGAUAAUGACGGUACCACAGGAAUAAGGGGCGGCAAACUUCGUGCCAGCAGCCGCGGUAAUACGAAGGCCCCAAGCGUUAUCCGGAAUUACUAGGCGUAAAGCGUCUGUAGGUGGAGUGGAAAGUUUGGUAUGAAAUGUCAGGGCUCAACCCUCGACGCAGUAUCGAAAACUUCCACCCUUGAGUGAGGGAGAGGUAAGCGGAAUGGUAUGAGUAGGAGUGCAAUCCGUUGAUACAUACUGGAACACCAAAAGCGAAGGCAGCUUACUGGAACUCUACUGACACUGAGAGACGAAAGCGUGGGGAGCGAAAGGGAUUAGAUACCCCUGUAGUCCACGCCCUAAACGAUGGAUGCUAAGUGUCG
This 707-nucleotide ribosomal RNA is filed under the name uncultured bacterium. Its description in RNAcentral is "bacterial SSU rRNA". It matches the Rfam family "Bacterial small subunit ribosomal RNA", at positions 88 to 825 of the family's 1533-position model. The record is from RNAcentral.